AGGGAAAACGAAAUGUAUGAGUGA
RNAcentral lists this non-coding RNA (24 nucleotides) under Arabidopsis thaliana (thale cress). The record is from RNAcentral. Lineage: Eukaryota; Viridiplantae; Streptophyta; Magnoliopsida; Brassicales; Brassicaceae.